RNAcentral lists this ribosomal RNA (301 nucleotides) under uncultured bacterium. RNAcentral describes it as "partial 16S ribosomal RNA". It matches the Rfam family "Bacterial small subunit ribosomal RNA", at positions 509 to 807 of the family's 1533-position model. The record is from RNAcentral.
CAGUAGCCACGGUAAUACGAAGGGGGCUAGCGUUGUUCGGAAUUACUGGGCGUAAAGCGCACGUAGGCGGACAUUUAAGUCAGGGGUGAAAUCCCGGGGCUCAACCCCGGAACUUCCUUUGAUACUGGGUGUCUAGAGUAUGGAAGAGGUGAGUGGAAUUCCGAGUGUAGAGGUGAAAUUCGUAGAUAUUCGGAGGAACACCAGUGGCGAAGGCGGCUCACUGGUCCAUUACUGACGCUGAGGUGCGAAAGCGUGGGGAGCAAACAGGAUUAGAUACCCCGGUAGUCCCUGUCUCUUAUAC